AUCUUGCGCAAUGGUCGAAAGACUGACGCAGCGACGCCGCGUGCGGGAGGAAGCUCUUCGGGGUGUAAACCGCUGUUGCCCGGGACGAAAUGCCCUUUCGAGGGUCUUGACGGUACCGGGUGAGGAAGCGCCGGCUAACUCUGUGCCAGCAGCCGCGGUAAUACAGAGGGCGCGAGCGUUGUCCGGAAUCACUGGGCGUAAAGGGCGCGUAGGUGGCGGCAUAAGGCCGCGGUGAAAGUUCGGGGCUCAACCCUGAAUCGGCCGCGGCGACUGUGUCGCUUGGGCACUGUAGAGGCAGAUGGAAUUCCGGGUGUAGCGGUGGAAUGCGUAGAGAUCCGGAAGAACACCGGUGGCGAAGGCGGCCUGCUGGGCAGUCUGGCUGACACUGAGGCGCGACAGCGUGGGGAGCAAAC
This 413-nucleotide ribosomal RNA is filed under the name uncultured bacterium. RNAcentral describes it as "bacterial SSU rRNA". It matches the Rfam family "Bacterial small subunit ribosomal RNA", at positions 361 to 773 of the family's 1533-position model. The record is from RNAcentral.